AUUGAACGCUGGCGGCAGGCUUAACACAUGCAAGUCGAGCGAGCGGCGGACGGGUGAGUAAUGUCUGGGAAACUGCCUGAUGGAGGGGGAUAACUACUGGAAACGGUAGCUAAUACCGCAUACCAUCAGAUGUGCCCAGAUGGGAUUAGCUAGUAGGUGGGGUAAUGGCUCACCUAGGCGACGAUCCCUAGCUGGUCUGAGAGGAUGACCAGCCACACUGGAACUGGAAAACGGUCAAGACUCCUACGGGAGGCGGCAGUGGGGAAUAUUGCACAAUGGGCGCAAGCCUGAUGCGGCCCUUCCGCGGGGGAUAAGAAGGCCUGCGGGUGGUAAAGCAUUUUCAGCGGGGAGGCGGUACUCGCAGAAGAAGCACCGGCUAACGCCGAGCCAGCAGCCGCGGUAAUAC
Molecule: ribosomal RNA, 406 nt
Filed under: uncultured bacterium
Lineage: Bacteria
Description: partial 16S ribosomal RNA
Rfam family: Bacterial small subunit ribosomal RNA
Source: RNAcentral